AGAGUUUGAUCCUGGCUCAGGACGAACGCUGGCGGCGUGCUUAACACAUGCAAGUCGAGCGAUGAAGCUCCUUCGGGGGUGGAUUAGCGGCGGACGGGUGAGUAACACGUGGGUAACCUGCCUCAUAGAGGGGAAUAGCCUUUCGAAAGGAAGAUUAAUACCGCAUAAGAUUGUAGUGCCGCAUGGCAUAGCAAUUAAAGGAGUAAUCCGCUAUGAGAUGGACCCGCGUCGCAUUAGCUAGUUGGUGAGGUAACGGCUCACCAAGGCGACGAUGCGUAGCCGACCUGAGAGGGUGAUCGGCCACAUUGGGGCUGAGACACGGCCCAGACUCCUACGGGAGGCAGCAGUGGGGAAUAUUGCACAAUGGGGGAAACCCUGAUGCAGCAACGCCGCGUGAGUGAUGACGGUCUUCGGAUUGUAAAGCUCUGUCUUCAGGGACGAUAAUGACGGUACCUGAGGAGGAAGCCACGGCUAACUACGUGCCAGCAGCCGCGGUAAUAC
RNAcentral lists this ribosomal RNA (501 nucleotides) under uncultured bacterium. RNAcentral describes it as "bacterial SSU rRNA". It matches the Rfam family "Bacterial small subunit ribosomal RNA", at positions 8 to 526 of the family's 1533-position model. The record is from RNAcentral.